RNAcentral lists this unclassified non-coding RNA (378 nucleotides) under plant metagenome. RNAcentral describes it as "partial contains 5.8S ribosomal RNA, internal transcribed spacer 2, and large subunit ribosomal RNA". The stretch from base 1 to 105 matches the Rfam family "5.8S ribosomal RNA", at positions 50 to 154 of the family's 154-position model. The record is from RNAcentral.
GAAAUGCGAUAAUUAAUGUGAAUUGCAGAAUUCAGUGAAUCAUCGAAUCUUUGAACGCACCUUGCGCUCCUUGGUAUUCCUUGGAGCAUGCCUGUUUGAGUAUCAUGAAAUCUUCAAAGUAAAUCUUUUGUUAACUCAAUUGGUUUCUACUUUGGUAUUGGAGGUCUUUGCAGCUUCACACCUGCUCCUCUUUGUUCAUUAGCUGGAUCUCAGUGUUAUGCUUGGUUCCACUCGGCGUGAUAAGUUAUCUAUCGCUGAGGACACUGUAAAAGGUGGCCAAGGUAAAUGCAGAUGAACCGCUUCUAAUAGUCCAUUGACUUGGACAAUACUUUUAUGAUCUGAUCUCAAAUCAGGUAGGACUACACGCUGAACUUAAGC